UACGAAGGGGGCUAGCGUUGUUCGGAAUGACUGGGCGUAAAGCGCACGUAGGCGGGUUGGUAAGUCAGGGGUGAAAUCCUGGAGCUCAACUCCAGAACUGCCUUUGAUACUGGCAACCUAGAGACUGGAAGAGGUUAGUGGAAUUCCCAGUGUAGAGGUGAAAUUCGUAGAUAUUGGGAAGAACACCAGUGGCGAAGGCGGCUAACUGGUCCAGCACUGACGCUGAGGUGCGAAAGCGUGGGGAGCAAACAGG
Molecule: ribosomal RNA, 253 nt
Filed under: uncultured bacterium
Lineage: Bacteria
Description: partial 16S ribosomal RNA
Rfam family: Bacterial small subunit ribosomal RNA
Source: RNAcentral